UACGUAGGUGGCGAGCGUUGUCCGGAUUUACUGGGCGUAAAGGGAGCGUAGGCGGACUUUUAAGUGAGAUGUGAAAUACUUGGGCUCAACUUGAGUGCUGCAUUUCAAACUGGAAGUCUAGAGUGCAGGAGAGGAGAAUGGAAUUCCUAGUGUAGCGGUGAAAUGCGUAGAGAUUAGGAAGAACACCAGUGGCGAAGGCGGUUCUCUGGACUGUAACUGACGCUGAGGCUCGAAAGCGUGGGGAGCAAACAGG
Molecule: ribosomal RNA, 253 nt
Filed under: uncultured bacterium
Lineage: Bacteria
Description: partial 16S ribosomal RNA
Rfam family: Bacterial small subunit ribosomal RNA
Source: RNAcentral